GUUUUCUUUCAUGUCGGUAGCAAUCUUUGAACUGUAUUGGUCGAGGUGGGAUUCGAGUGCUGAGCUGAGCAUUAAUGGUGAGCAUGUAGCACCAAACAACACAACUUUGAAUCGGUAGGCUUGAAACACGCUUUCGGGAUCAUCAGGUUGGGAAAGCCACAGGAAUCGGGUACAGUCUCUGUCAUCUUCGUGGAGUUGAACAUGUAGAAAUGCCUUCUCUAUAUCGGUGGAAAAUGCAAAUGGGUGGGUUUGAAAGCGCAGAAGAAUUGAACACAUAUCAUUUAGCGAUGGUGGCCCUGGCAGAAGACAAUCAUUCAAACUUGGGUGGUCUGUUGACUGGCGGCAGCUACAGUCAUAUACAAUGCGAAUAGGUGUGGUGGUAGAGUCUUUUUUUACAGGGUGGUGGGGAAUGUAGUGGAUCUUAUCUGACAUGUUGGUCGUAGACACCUUUUCAAUGAAUGCUUUCUCUUCUUGUUCUGCAAUGAUGUCGCUAUAGGUCUUCAAGAGUUUGGGGUCCUGUCCAAGGCGACGAGCUAGAAGUCGUGUUCUCUUCGCACAUACAGCGUAGUUGGAUGGUAGUGGGCGAUACUCAGUCCUCCAUGGAAAUCUUGCACAAUAAGUGCCAUCAGGAGAGCGAGUGAUGUUAGUUUCCUUGAAGUUCCCAAUCGCAG
Paramuricea clavata is the source of this 671-nucleotide non-coding RNA. Lineage: Eukaryota; Metazoa; Cnidaria; Anthozoa; Malacalcyonacea; Plexauridae. The record is from the annotation of a GenBank genome assembly.